This is a non-coding RNA of Struthio camelus australis, 560 nucleotides long. The record is from RefSeq and is a predicted model, not a curated record. Lineage: Eukaryota; Metazoa; Chordata; Aves; Struthioniformes; Struthionidae.
CUGUGAAGAACGUCUUCUCGUUAUGAAGCUGCACACCUAUUAUCUGCGCUCAGGCAUACAUAAUCGUGUAAUUCUCCUCAUCUCUUUGCACUAGCCUCUUCUGCCUCCUGAUUUGUCAGUACCCUGGUCUAGCUCUCAACUUCCGCUUGCAAGUUAAAAGUGACCAACAAACUGAACCUGAAGUAAGAGCCCUGAAACCAAAGGCUGCUAACUUUUAAAUGUCUUGCAUGCACAGCCUCAAGAAGAUUUAGUAUCUGAAUCAUUCGGAGUCUCUGAAUUAGUCACUGAAGAGCCCUUCAUGGAAGACGCAAGCUCUCUGCCUCAAGCCACACAGGGCUCCCAGCUGUGAACUGCGCUUUGUGGGGCUAACUUCAAGAGGCUGAAUAUCCAGGGAAGCACAGAGUAAGAUGAAGGUAUUGCUGACCCUGCCUCUGGUGCUGACGUUGCUCGAGAGAUGCAGCGGGUCAGCUGGCUGGGUCUUCGUGCAGCCUCAGCUCCAAGCCUGCUCCGGGGACUCCGUCCUGCUGCAGUGCCGCUUCCUUGACUCGGUGGCCAAGCAG